UGGGGGAUCGUUCAACGGUAGGACAGCUGACUCUGGAUCAGCCGAUCGGGGUUCGAAUCCCUGUCCCCCAGCCA
This 74-nucleotide transfer RNA is filed under the name Anaerolineae bacterium. RNAcentral describes it as "tRNA-Gln". It matches the Rfam family "tRNA". From Rfam's summary of the family: Transfer RNA (tRNA) molecules are approximately 80 nucleotides in length. Their secondary structure includes four short double-helical elements and three loops (D, anti-codon, and T loops). Further hydrogen bonds mediate the characteristic L-shaped molecular structure. tRNAs have two regions of fundamental functional importance: the anti-codon, which is responsible for specific mRNA codon recognition, and the 3' end, to which the tRNAs corresponding amino acid is attached (by aminoacyl-tRNA synthetases). tRNAs cope with the degeneracy of the genetic code in two manners: having more than one tRNA (with a specific anti-codon) for a particular amino acid; and 'wobble' base-pairing, i.e. permitting non-standard base-pairing at the 3rd anti-codon position. The record is from RNAcentral. Lineage: Bacteria; Bacillati; Chloroflexota; Anaerolineae.